RNAcentral lists this ribosomal RNA (253 nucleotides) under uncultured bacterium. Its description in RNAcentral is "partial 16S ribosomal RNA". It matches the Rfam family "Bacterial small subunit ribosomal RNA", at positions 524 to 776 of the family's 1533-position model. The record is from RNAcentral.
UACAGAGGUCUCAACCGUUGUUCGGAUUCAUUGGGCGUAAAGGGUGCGUAGGCGGUCGCGUAAGUCAGGUGUGAAAUCCCGGGGCUCAACCCCGGAACUGCACUUGAUACUGCGUGGCUAGGGUACUGGAGAGGAGACUGGAAUUUACGGUGUAGCAGUGAAAUGCGUAGAUAUCGUAAGGAAGACCAGUGGCGAAGGCGGGUCUCUGGACAGUUCCUGACGCUGAGGCACGAAGGCCAGGGGAGCAAACGGG